Molecule: long non-coding RNA, 619 nt
Organism: Pseudopipra pipra
Lineage: Eukaryota; Metazoa; Chordata; Aves; Passeriformes; Pipridae
Exons: 3
Source: RefSeq, a predicted model, not a curated record
CCCGAGUCUGUGGAGGAACCUCGUACCGGGAUGCUGCGGGAGCGAUCGGCGCGUCGGAAGACCGAGGGUGGCGAUGGAGCUCGGCAGGAGGACCGGGACAAGGAUCGGGGCCAGGACCGGGACCGCGACCGGAGGAGCGAGGCGGCCCCAGGAGCUGGCACUGACCGUGCCGCGGGUCGGGCACAGGCUGCUCCCAGCUCUGCCUGCGGAACUUCGGCAAUUACCGACAGCAGUUCUUUGCCCUGCCAUCCAGAAGGUGCGGCUCAUCUGACACCAGCCAGACGGGGAAGGCCCUGCCUGGGAGGGAAACGGCUACAGGGGAGGAAACCAAGAAAUGCUCCAACCGGAUGGUGCUGCGCGAGUCAAAAGAGGGGCAAGACCGCGGGCAAAUACAGUCAGGAAAUGAGCUUUUAUUCAAUCUCUGCAGGAGCCCUUCGCAGCCACGGGCCGGAGGGAGCGCGGCCGGCUGGGCUGUGCCCGGCUGGGGACGGGCACCAAUUCAUCGCUGCCCUGCUCAGGGAGGUUUUCCGGCCCCGUCCGGGCUUCACCCAACGGCUGCAAAGGUGCUCGUGCGGCAUCCGAGCUCAUUUCCAGGGAUAAAGGAGCCAAACGAGUCCGG